AUGCGGAGGGUGCAAGCGUUAUUCGGAAUCACUGGGCGUAAAGGACGCGUAGGCGGGUUGGCAAGUCAGAUGUGAAAUCCUACAGCUUAACUGUAGAACUGCAUUUGAAACUGCUAACCUAGAGUAUGGGAGGGGGAGAUGGAAUUAGUGGUGUAGGGGUAAAAUCCGUAGAUAUCACUAGGAAUACCGAAAGCGAAGGCGAUCUCCUGGAACAUAACUGACGCUAAGGCGUGAAAGCGUGGGGAGCAAACAGGAUUAGAUACCCCAGUAGUCC
Molecule: ribosomal RNA, 274 nt
Filed under: uncultured bacterium
Lineage: Bacteria
Description: partial 16S ribosomal RNA
Rfam family: Bacterial small subunit ribosomal RNA
Source: RNAcentral